This 402-nucleotide ribosomal RNA is filed under the name Burkholderia multivorans. RNAcentral's name for it is "bacterial LSU rRNA". It matches the Rfam family "Bacterial large subunit ribosomal RNA", at positions 1 to 435 of the family's 2925-position model. Lineage: Bacteria; Pseudomonadati; Pseudomonadota; Betaproteobacteria; Burkholderiales; Burkholderiaceae. The record is from RNAcentral.
GUUAUAGGGUCAAGCGAACAAGUGCAUGUGGUGGAUGCCUUGGCGAUCACAGGCGAUGAAGGACGCGGUAGCCUGCGAAAAGCCCCGGGGAGCUGGCAAACAAGCUUUGAUCCGGGGAUGUCCGAAUGGGGAAACCCACUCCGUAUGGAGUAUCCAUGACUGAAUACAUAGGUCAUGCGAAGCGAACGCGGUGAACUGAAACAUCUAAGUAACCGCAGGAAAAGAAAUCAACCGAGAUUCCCAAAGUAGUGGCGAGCGAAAUGGGAUGAGCCUUGUACUCUUUAUUUGUAUUGUUAGCCGAACGCUCUGGAAAGUGCGGCCAUAGCAGGUGAUAGCCCUGUAGGCGAAAACAGUAUGAAAGAACUAGGUGUACGACAAGUAGGGCGGGACACGUGAAAUCCU